AGAGUUUUUUUUAUAUUAUUGUUAUGGUUUGCAAAGGUUUGGAGAGAGGGAGAAUAAUGUUUUUUUAUAACUAUUUUGUUGCUAUGAUUUCAAAUAGAGAACGCGUGAGAAACGAAAUGGAGAGAUCUGAGUUUUUGACUUUUUACCCCUUGUGUCACGUGUCACAUUUUUGUCGGGGGGCUUGGAAAUUUUGAAAAGAAAAACUCAAAUUCUCUCUCUGUUACACUAUUCAUAAAUCACCCCACUCAUGUUUUUUUCUAUCUU
RNAcentral lists this long non-coding RNA (264 nucleotides) under Lathyrus oleraceus (garden pea). RNAcentral describes it as "Pisum sativum (pea) long non-coding RNA (PSAT_LNC021390)". The record is from RNAcentral. Lineage: Eukaryota; Viridiplantae; Streptophyta; Magnoliopsida; Fabales; Fabaceae.